RNAcentral lists this ribosomal RNA (1350 nucleotides) under metagenome. RNAcentral describes it as "bacterial LSU rRNA". It matches the Rfam family "Bacterial large subunit ribosomal RNA", at positions 1564 to 2925 of the family's 2925-position model. The record is from RNAcentral.
CGAAUACGAGAUACUAAGGUAUCGAAGUGGUUGAUGUCAUGCUUCCAAGAAAAGCUCGAAAUAUCAUAAACAAUAAAUGCCUGUACCUUAAACCGACACAGGUAGGUAGGUAGAGUAUACCAAGGGGCGCGAGAUAACUCUCUCUAAGGAACUCGGCAAAAUAACCUCGUAACUUCGGAAGAAGAGGUACCCUUGAAAGAGGGUUGCAAUAACCAGACCCUGGCGACUGUUUACCAAAAACACAGGUCUCCGCUAAUUCGUAAGAUUAUGUAUGGAGGCUGACGCCUGCCCAGUGCCGGAAGGUUAAAGAAGUUGGUCAGUCUUCGGAUGAAGCUAGCGACUGAAGCCCCGGUGAACGGCGGCCGUAACAAUAACGGUCCUAAGGUAGCGAAGUUCCUUGUCGGGUAAGUUCCGACCCGCACGAAAGGCGUAACGAUCAGGGUGCUGUCUCGGAGAGAGGCUCGGCGAAAUAGACAUGUCUGUGAAGAUGCGGACUACCUGCACCUGGACAGAAAGACCCUAUGAAGCUUUACUGUAUCUUGGAAUUGGGUUUGGGCCUUGUUUGCGCAGGAUAGGUGGGAGGCUUUGAAGAUACUCUUGCGGGAGUAUUGGAGCCAAUGGUGAGAUACCACUCUAGCAAGGCUAAAAUCCUAACUUUGAACCGUUAUCCGGUCGAAGAACAGUUUCAGGUGGGCAGUUUGACUGGGGCGGUCGCCUCCUAAAAGGUAACGGAGGCGUGCAAAGGUUCCCUCAGGCUGGUCGGACAUCAGUCGUAGAGUGUAAAGGCAUAAGGGAGCUUGACUGCGAGACCUACAAGUCGAACAGAGACGAAAGUCGGCCUUAGUGAUCCGACGGUUCCGAGUGGAAGGGCCGUCGCUCAACGGAUAAAAGUUACUCUAGGAUAACAGGCUGAUCUCCCCCAAGAGUUCAUAUCGACGGGGAGGUUUGGCACCUCGAUGUCGGCUCAUCGCAUCCUGGGGCGGUAGUACGUCCCAAGGGUUGGGCUGUUCGCCCAUGAAAGCGGUACGCGAGCUGGGUUCAGAACGUCGUGAGACAGUUCGGUCCAUAUCCGGUGCAGGCGCUAGAGUAUUGAGAGGAGUCUCCCUUAGUACGAGAGGACCGGGGAGAAUACACCGCUGGUGUACCAGUUAUCGUGCCAACGGUACACGCUGGGUAGCCAAGUGUAGAGUGGAUAACUGCUGAAAGCAUCUAAGUAGGAAGCCCACCUCAAGAUGAGUACUCUCACCGCUAUAAGCGGUUAAGAUCACGGGAAGAACACCCGUUAUAUAGGCACUAAGUGUAAGUACAGUAAUGUAUUCAGCUGAGGUGUACUAACAGAUCGAAGGCUUG